Molecule: long non-coding RNA, 1652 nt
Organism: Megalopta genalis
Lineage: Eukaryota; Metazoa; Arthropoda; Insecta; Hymenoptera; Halictidae
Source: RefSeq, a predicted model, not a curated record
UGCCGUGUCACUCGUGUCGUCAAGUGCAGCAGGACGGUUUCGCAGGUUGAAGAAAGAGAAAAAAUCCAGCGAAGGUCGAAUCAAGCAGCCGUGAAAGAUCCAUUCGCAGCAACGAGCCAUCUUGUGUAUCGGACGAAGACCGGAUUCUUUUCCCCAGCGCUUCUCUAAUUGCAUUCCUAACCUCUUCGGCAUAUUUGGGUGCACGAGGCAAAACAGCGGAAUCUAAUUUGAGGUAAUUAGCCGUUUCACUGCAUAAUCUUUCGACUAGUUGUUACUCCGAUAAGGAGGAAGUAGUAUCGUCGAAAUUCCCCCGUUGUUAUCGUGCUGUAUUCCAAGGCGGGCCAAUCUUUCGAAACCCGCGAUAUCGCAAUCGGCCUAGUUUCGAAAAUGUUCCUCGAAACAGACACGAUUGCGAUUUUAAUUAAACUGCUCGUGUGUAUCAUUUUAUACUCGCGAAUAUCUUACUACGUUGUUUCCACGUUGUUUCCACUGUUGCUCAGUAGUUGGCGUAAUCGCCGUCUAACUUCAUUUUGGCGUCCGAUCGAGUCAAUUGGACCACUCUGUUUUCUACUAAUACCAUAUGUUUCUCUUUCAGCAUUCAUUUCUUUUUUUAAAUAGUUCACCAAGUGUGAACAAAAUUAGUUAUUUCGUAAAGACUCGAAAUUUAGGUUUAGUUCUACUGCUGCAGAUUGGUAACGAAUUUGACAAUAGGAUUAUCCGAAGGAUGGCCCAGACGACAAUGUAUGUUAAACAAGGCGACCGUAUUAUGUUUAUAAUUGCAAGUCAUUCUCCUGGAUCAGCGUCGAACUCGAACAACCGAACUCGAUAUUCUGCACAAAAACUAGUGUCGCGUUAGCGUUUUUAUUCAUCGACCGAGGCGACACGAGCAUAACUCUGAAAGAGCAGUUUGAAUUUUAGACAAACUUCGUAGAUUUAAUCGUCGAUCUUUAGAAAAUACAUUGGAUCUUUUUUUGUGCAGAAAUCAUGAUUUUAUUAGGAGUUAUUAAUUAGAAUUUUCAAGUUCCACCCUUGUUCUUUUAGCAAAUACAAUAGAAAAAGAAUCCUAAUUUACUAAAACCAUGGAGCUAGAGUUUAGAGGCAGGCCCAUAGAAAAAUUGGAAGUUACGGCCAGUCCAGGACAAACUGCAGAUACUAGGGGAUCCAGGAGUGCGAUUUCCAGCCUCUCAAGGCUUCAGAAGGGAUGACUUUUCCACCUCGGAGAGAGAUCCAAGUGGCACAGGCGAUCCAGUGUUCCAGCAAGGCGUAACAAGUGUCCGUGUGACGUCACGCGGGUUUCUGGAGGCGGAGCUUGUGAUUGGGGGAGCAGGUGGGGGGGUGGGGCUCUCCCUCAUCGUGGAUCGUUCGCCCCACCCCCGCGAUUUUGUUCCUUCAUGCCACCGCCACCUUCGACCUCCUCCUUCUCUACCUCGCGGCCUCUUUUCCUCUCUUUUGAACUUUGUUCGGCGACCCCCCACCAACUAAACCUCCACGAGGUAGGGAGACGAGUAUUACCUUGCUGGGAUAGCCAUUGCAAGAGACAAUCUCGGUGCAACUUCAUCUGCAUCUUUUCUUCGAUCAGCUCGCAUUAUCAUAGUUUACACAUUGGUGGUUGAAAAUAAUAAUUGAAACAAGCUAGCGCCAGCAAUCUUUAA